This 2327-nucleotide long non-coding RNA is filed under the name Podarcis lilfordi (Lilford's wall lizard). Lineage: Eukaryota; Metazoa; Chordata; Lepidosauria; Squamata; Lacertidae. The record is from RNAcentral.
UGCUAUUUACCUUCCCGCUGGAAGGUAUCUACAACACCAGAUUCAUCCAAACAAUUAAUACAAUUUGAUAAAGCCAUAGUAACUCAUGGUGUUGCCAUGAUACUUCCUAAUCACAAUAUGGAAACUUACUCCAGAACAAAAACUAAAAUAAAAAUAGAUUAGCUGUGCCCUAUUGCGAUGUGAAAGGGGUAGUCAAGAUGGGCCUCUAGAGAUGAACUACAACUCCCAUCACCCCCAACUAUUGGCCCUGCUGUUUGUGGCUGAUGGGAGUUGGAGUCCGCUGAUUGGACUCCAUGUUGACUAUUCCCCAACCCUCAAAUGUAUGUCCUGAUUCUCCUUGAUAUAAGGGAAGAAGUUGCUCAUCUUGUCACAUGGUCACGCCAGUCCAUUUGUGGGCUGGUAGAGUCACUGCCAGCCAGGACUCUAACACAGGGAUGAGGGACAUGGGACCCGCUAGGCCAGCGUUUCCCAAACUUGGGUCUGCAGUUGCUUUUGGACUACAAUUCUCAUUAUCCCUGACCACUCGUCUUGCUCAGAGGCAAAGCAACCUGCUCUGGUACCCGGAGCGGCGCUCGUCCCAGGGGGCGUGGCGCACGUCCCAGUGGUGUGCGACGAGCGGCGCACACCCUGGGGGGUGCCACCAAUUGGGGGUCGGCAUUUUGUCACACCCCCCUUUGGAAUGGUACCUGGAGUGGUCCGCCCCCACCCCCUAGAAUGCCUCUGGUCUUGCAAGCUAGUGAUGAUGGGAGUUGUAGUCCAAAUAAGUUUGGGAAGCCAGUUGCUAGAUGUUGAGGGACUACAAAACCCCUCGCCCCUGACCAUUGGGGAUGCUGCCUGGGGCUGAUGGGAAUUGGAGUUUGAGAACAUCUAAUGUCCUGUCCUGCGGACAUUCCGGCAACUGGAAUUCAGAGUCAUUCUGCCUCCCAGCCACUAGGGUUGGUGGCCCUUGCUGAUUUGCACCUCCACAAAUUUGUUUCAUUUUAUCACCCACAAAUGGUGCAUUGAAUUCUGGGAGGCCAUUUUGGCUCUGCGUGGAUUUUCGGCUCAUCCCUACGAAUGCUUUACUAUCAGAAUUGCAACAAGAUUCCAGAAGCCAAAUUGUGGAAAUGACUUUAUGGCAACAGGCCACCGCAUCCAGUUCGGAGGGGACAUUUCAAGGACAUUUCUCACAGCUUUCCAUUUACCCAGUUUCAGCCUGGGUCAACAUUGGCUGUUUUGCCCUCUGUGAAGUGCGGAAUAAGCCUUAAUCUUCAGGAGAGGACUGCUUCAUGGAAUGGACUCCAUGGGAAUGGACUCGAUGUUGCCAUAGCAACACCACCCCUUACAGUUCCCUCCAGACAUCUGGAGGAGGGAACAUGAUCGUUAAUCAUAAUUAGGAGGGCGUUUCGGGUUAAUAUGCGCAGGGAAGGUUGAGGGUUUUCAGCCGAGAGCACCUGGGGGGAAAAUAUACCACACAUAUAAGUGGCGGGGAGCAUUAGAUUCAUCAUGUAAAUGUAAAUGUCUCCAGAGGAGGGAGUUCCCCCUAGCUGAGGGCCUUAUGUAAUGUGCGAUCUGUAAGGAACAGAAUUAAUUCAGAGGGCUUGUCAUAUGAAAACCCCCAGGCAAUUAAUUGAAUUUUUAAACCCAGACAACAGAAAUUAUCCAGCUUCAAUAUGAUUACUUCUCUCCCCAUGAUGCGAUAAGGCUAACUGCCUGACAUUGUCUGCAUUGUUUAAAACAAUCCAGAUUUGGAAAUGUGUCGCUGAGGCUCCCAGAACACAAAUUUGAUGUGAAUAUUUGAAUCGCCGCAGAUAUAUCAUCGCGGGCAAUUUCUGCUUCUGUUUCACCCCACUAAAUUCGUUUUGACUUCAGUGUGGUCUGGCCUCUGAGUAAGCUAGCAUAUGAUUCAGCAGCCAUGGAACCCAAUCCUCUGGGUGCUAUUUACCCAUGAGUAAGCCCACCUCUGCUCAAUGGAGCCUACUCCUGAAUAAAUGUGUUUAGGAUUGUAGUCUAGGGUCUGUCGAACUCAAGGGGUCCUGUGAGUAAACGUGGACAGGGGUGGAUAAGUUUGCAUCAAGAAUUGAUUGGAAAUUGUGAGAAAGUACUCGCCCUUACUUGUUAAAAUAGAUGUCUGCCAUGAAACUAAAGAACCAUACCAAAUGAAUUUGCUUUCACAAUUUCGUGUGUGUUUGUUGUUACAAGGUGCAUGUCUGAACCUGCGUACGUGUUCACCACUCGUAUAGACCUGGCGUCCGCUCUUGAGAGGAAUGCAACAUUUUGACAUGUGCCCAUUUAAAAAAUGUGUGUAUACCUUUAAAACUUGUGCCUAAUAAAGAACGUGUCACACC